This 257-nucleotide long non-coding RNA is filed under the name Dasypus novemcinctus (nine-banded armadillo). RNAcentral describes it as "lncRNA (ENSDNOG00000051736.1)". The record is from RNAcentral. Lineage: Eukaryota; Metazoa; Chordata; Mammalia; Cingulata; Dasypodidae.
ACCGCGUCCCGCCGAGAGCCUCCCGCGCGGUGGGGCCGCUCGGAGACCCGCCGAGGCCGAGGACCCGGGGGAAGGUGCCCGCGGACGGCUGCGGCCCGAGGGCUUCGGCUGGCAGGAUUAGGUAUUGUAAAGUGCUCCGCUCUUUCAUUCCUGCCUUAAAAUUUUCUAAAGUGCUGAUUUCACCCUUUGAACUUUAACGUCAGGUAAGUGUGUCUGUUUAUUUGCUGUAAUCAAUAAUAAUGGCUCAUGCAUGAAAA